GACGAACGCUGGCGGCGUGCCUAAUACAUGCAAGUAGAACGCUGAAGGAGGAGCUUGCUUCUCUGGAUGAGUUGCGAACGGGUGAGUAACGCGUAGGUAACCUGCCUGGUAGCGGGGGAUAACUAUUGGAAACGAUAGCUAAUACCGCAUAAGAGUAGAUGUUGCAUGACAUUUGCUUAAAAGGUGCAAUUGCAUCACUACCAGAUGGACCUGCGUUGUAUUAGCUAGUUGGUGGGGUAACGGCUUACCAAGGCGACGAUACAUAGCCGACCUGAGAGGGUGAUCGGCCACACUGGGACUGAGACACGGCCCAGACUCCUACGGGAGGCAGCAGUAGGGAAUCUUCGGCAAUGGACGGAAGUCUGAACGAGCAACGCCGCGUGAGUGAAGAAGGUUUUCGGAUCGUAAAGCUCUGUUGUAAGAGAAGAACGAGUGUGAGAGUGGAAAGUUCACACUGUGACGGUAUCUUACCAGAAAGGGACGGCUAACUACGUG
Molecule: ribosomal RNA, 495 nt
Filed under: uncultured bacterium
Lineage: Bacteria
Description: partial 16S ribosomal RNA
Rfam family: Bacterial small subunit ribosomal RNA
Source: RNAcentral